UACGUAGGGGGCAAGCGUUGUCCGGAUUUAUUGGGCGUAAAGAGCGUGUAGGCGGCUAGGUAGGUCCGUUGUGAAAACUCGAGGCUCAACCUCGAGACGUCGAUGGAAACCAUCUAGCUAGAGUCCGGAAGAGGAGAGUGGAAUUCCUGGUGUAGCGGUGAAAUGCGCGGAUAUCAGGAAGAACACCCGUGGCGAAGGCGGCUCUCUGGUACGUGACUGACGCUGAGACGCGAAAGCGUGGGGAGCAAACAGG
RNAcentral lists this ribosomal RNA (253 nucleotides) under uncultured bacterium. Its description in RNAcentral is "partial 16S ribosomal RNA". It matches the Rfam family "Bacterial small subunit ribosomal RNA", at positions 524 to 776 of the family's 1533-position model. The record is from RNAcentral.